RNAcentral lists this long non-coding RNA (1328 nucleotides) under Capra hircus (goat). RNAcentral's name for it is "lncRNA (ENSCHIG00010020461.1)". Lineage: Eukaryota; Metazoa; Chordata; Mammalia; Artiodactyla; Bovidae. The record is from RNAcentral.
AAAAACUUAAAGAGCAGAGGGCAACUUUAUGUGAAGUGAUAAGCUUUGAAUAUACAAAUUACACAGGUUGAAAAGAAAACACAAAUAGUUGCCUUUGGUAGUCAUUCAGCCAAAGUUUCAAUGAAACUGUGAAUGUCAGUUAUUCCGCAGUUUCAACACAUCGUGAUAGUUGAUGAUUCAACUAAGAACUGAUCCCAGGGAGAGGCUGUCAAACCACAGGCUUCAUCCCAUUUGCUUCAGAAUGUAUAAAAUAGCUGUGCUAUUCCAGGGCCAGUCACUUCCAUUUCUUAUAACACCAUCCCAGAGAAGGAACGGACUGGGAAGUUUGAGAUUACAUCUGAGUAAAAUGAAAGUUCUCCUUCUGCUCACAGCCAUCUUGGCAAUAACCAUUGGUUUCCCGGUCUCUCAAGACAAGGAAAGAGAAUCACGAAGUGCCAGUGGGAGUGAUGAACUAUCAUCACAGUUCUUUUAUCCUCCUUACCAAUAUCCACACAACCAUUAUUCACGAUUCCUCUGUCCAUGGUGGGCCUAUUUUUAUCCUCCCAUUCCAGUACCUGCAUCUGUCUCUGCAGCUACCCCUGAUAAUGAGAAGUAAAUAAGAAAGAGAAGUCCCAGUGCAAUUUAAGAUGAAAUAGGUGGUCACUGCAAAAUUGAACAUGAGCCACUUCCUUGAAGAAUCAAUAUUCCUGUUAAUCAUAGAAAAAUAAAUGUGAUUAAAGAAGCAUACAAGAUCAUGGUUUCCCAUUUUCUAAAUCUGCAUUGCCGGUAGGAAUGCAAAAUAAAUUUUAACAGAUUAAUUUAAUACACACUUCGUGAUGAUAGCUAUUCCAAGGAAAGUACUGGAGUGGAAGUAACCAGAAUUCACUAGCCCUGGAAUUACCUUGACUGAAAGCCUACUCAGUAGCUUAUGUUAUUGUAGCGUAAGAGAAUUAGAGACGAUACGGUUCCGAAAAAGAAGGAGACAAGCACUUUACAGGAACAGAUCACUUUUAAUGAGGAGAGAAGGAACAGCAGUCAGAUUAGAGAGCUGCUGCAUUAAGUUAAGAAGAGAGUAGGUAUAUAUAUGCAGAGAUACAUUGUUUUGAGGGGGUCUGUUUUUCCUCAUGAUUAUUUUUGAUUAGUUAGCUUUCUACAACUGGGAUAAGGAGUUCCUGAGACCGCCAGAGACUGGGAUUAGCUGGGAGCUGAACAUAAUCAAUCCUAACAUCCUUUCCUUUCUUGGAGGAGAAAGUUCUUUAUUCUGUAUAGAAUGGUGGGGAGAAGAACCUGGAGGGGAGUUUUAACUCCAGGCUAUUGUGUAGCUUUCCUUCAGUUAUGUAGUUCUACUG